UUAAAUAGGUAGUAUCUACUUAAUUAACUCAAUUAAAGCAACACUUUAUUAAUACAGGCACUAUAUA
RNAcentral lists this transfer RNA (67 nucleotides) under Parapotamon spinescens. RNAcentral's name for it is "tRNA-Ile". The record is from RNAcentral. Lineage: Eukaryota; Metazoa; Arthropoda; Malacostraca; Decapoda; Potamidae.